Molecule: ribosomal RNA, 421 nt
Filed under: uncultured Bacteroidota bacterium
Lineage: Bacteria; Pseudomonadati; Bacteroidota
Description: uncultured Bacteroidetes bacterium partial 16S ribosomal RNA
Rfam family: Bacterial small subunit ribosomal RNA
Source: RNAcentral
UAAGGAAUAUUGGGCAAUGGUCGGAAGACUGACCCAGCCAUGCCGCGUGCAGGAAGAAGGCGCUUAGCGUUGUAAACUGCUUUUGUCGGAGAAGAAAAUACCCCUGCGGGGGUGCCUGACGGUAUCCGACGAAUAAGCAUCGGCUAACUACGUGCCAGCAGCCGCGGUAAUACGUAGGAUGCAAGCGUUGUCCGGAUUUAUUGGGUUUAAAGGGUGCGUAGGUGGGGAAUUAAGUCGUGGGUGAAAGCUGGUAGCUCAACUAUCAAAAUGCCUGCGAUACUGGUUUUCUUGAAUACGGUGGAGGUAACUGGAAUGGGUGGUGUAGCGGUGAAAUGCAUAGAUACCAUCCGGAACACCAAUUGCGUAGGCAGGUUACUACGCCGUGAUUGACACUGAGGCACGAAAGCGUGGGGAUCAAACA